RNAcentral lists this ribosomal RNA (238 nucleotides) under Klebsiella oxytoca. RNAcentral's name for it is "partial 23S ribosomal RNA". It matches the Rfam family "Bacterial large subunit ribosomal RNA", at positions 2053 to 2290 of the family's 2925-position model. The record is from RNAcentral. Lineage: Bacteria; Pseudomonadati; Pseudomonadota; Gammaproteobacteria; Enterobacterales; Enterobacteriaceae.
GUGAAGAUGCAGUGUACCCGCGGCAAGACGGAAAGACCCCGUGAACCUUUACUAUAGCUUGACACUGAACACUGGUCCUUGAUGUGUAGGAUAGGUGGGAGGCUUUGAAGUGUGGACGCCAGUCUGCGUGGAGCCAUCCUUGAAAUACCACCCUUUAAUGGCUGGUGUUCUAACGUGGGCCCCUAAUCGGGGUUGCGGACAGUGUCUGGUGGGUAGUUUGACUGGGGCGGUCUCCUCC